UACGUAGGGAGCAAGCGUUGUCCGGAAUCAUUGGGCGUAAAGCGCGUGUAGGCGGCCCGGAAAGUCUGGUGUGAAAUCUUAAGGCUCAACCUUAAGCUGUCACUGGAUACUGUCGGGCUUGAGUCCGGAAGAGGAGUGUGGAAUUCCUGGUGUAGCGGUGGAAUGCGCAGAUAUCAGGAGGAACACCUAUGGCGAAGGCAGCACUCUGGUACGUGACUGACGCUGAGACGCGAAAGCGUGGGGAGCAAACAGG
This 253-nucleotide ribosomal RNA is filed under the name uncultured bacterium. RNAcentral's name for it is "partial 16S ribosomal RNA". It matches the Rfam family "Bacterial small subunit ribosomal RNA", at positions 524 to 776 of the family's 1533-position model. The record is from RNAcentral.